AUUUUUAUUGGUAAUUUAUGUUCAUAUUUGUGUAUGUUAUUAUAUAGUUAAUAAAAUUAU
RNAcentral lists this small RNA (60 nucleotides) under Arabidopsis thaliana (thale cress). RNAcentral's name for it is "ATSL080400". Lineage: Eukaryota; Viridiplantae; Streptophyta; Magnoliopsida; Brassicales; Brassicaceae. The record is from RNAcentral.